UACGUAGGGGGCAAGCGUUGUCCGGAAUCAUUGGGCGUAAAGAGCGUGUAGGCGGCUCGAUAAGUCUGCUGUGAAAGUCCAGGGCUCAACCCUGGAAGGCCGGUGGAAACUGUCGGGCUAGAGUCCGGAAGAGGCGAGUGGAAUUUCCGGUGGAGCGGUGAAAUGCGUAGAGAUCGGAAAGAACACCAACGGCGAAAGCACUCUGCUGGGCCGACACUGACACUGAGAGACGAAAGCUAGGGGAGCGAAUGGG
RNAcentral lists this ribosomal RNA (253 nucleotides) under uncultured bacterium. Its description in RNAcentral is "partial 16S ribosomal RNA". It matches the Rfam family "Bacterial small subunit ribosomal RNA", at positions 524 to 776 of the family's 1533-position model. The record is from RNAcentral.